CCGUACCUACGGGGGGCAGCAGUGAGGAAUAUUGGUCAAUGGGCGAGAGCCUGAACCAGCCAAGUCGCGUGAGGGAAGACGGUCCUAUGGAUUGUAAACCUCUUUUGUCGGGGAGCAAAAAGACUACGUGUAGUCCCAAGCGAGAGUACCCGAAGAAAAAGCAUCGGCUAACUACGUGCCAGCAGCCGCGGUAAUACGUAGGUGGCGAGCGUUAUCCGGAAUGAUUGGGCGUAAAGGGUGCGUAGGCGGCCUGCUAAGUCUGGAGUGAAAGGUACCGGCUCAACCGGUACAGGCUCUGGAAACUG
RNAcentral lists this ribosomal RNA (305 nucleotides) under uncultured bacterium. RNAcentral describes it as "bacterial SSU rRNA". It matches the Rfam family "Bacterial small subunit ribosomal RNA", at positions 331 to 635 of the family's 1533-position model. The record is from RNAcentral.